Molecule: ribosomal RNA, 464 nt
Filed under: uncultured bacterium
Lineage: Bacteria
Description: partial 16S ribosomal RNA
Rfam family: Bacterial small subunit ribosomal RNA
Source: RNAcentral
CCUACGGGAGGCUGCAGUAGGGAAUUUUCGGCAAUGGGGGGAACCCUGACCGAGCAACGCCGCGUGAAGGAAGAAGGAAUUCGUUCUGUAAACUUCUGUUAUAAAGGAAGAAAGACGGAUGGAGGAAAUGACAUCCGAGUUACGGUACUUGAUGAGAAAGCCACGGGAAACUCCGUGCCAGCAGCCGCGGUAAUACGUAGGUGGCAUGUGUUAGCCGGAAUUAUUGGGCGAAAAGAGGGAGCAGGCGGCAGCAAAGGUCUGUGGUAAAAGACCGGAGCUUAACUUCAGUAAGCCAUAGAAACCGGGCAGCUAGAGUGCAGGAGAGGACCGUGGAAUUCCAUGUGUAGCGGUGAAAUGCGUAGAUAUAUGGAGGAACCCCAGUGGCGAAGGCGACGAUCUGGCCUGCAACUGACGCUCAGUCCCGAAAGCGUGGGGAGCAAAUAGGAUUAGAUACCCGUGUAGUC